GCAAGUCGAACGGUAGCACAGAGAGCUUGCUCUCGGGUGACGAGUGGCGGACGGGUGAGUAAUGUCUGGGAAACUGCCUGAUGGAGGGGGAUAACUACUGGAAACGGUAGCUAAUACCGCAUAACGUCGCAAGACCAAAGAGGGGGACCUUCGGGCCUCUUGCCAUCAGAUGUGCCCAGAUGGGAUUAGCUAGUAGGUGGGGUAACGGCUCACCUAGGCGACGAUCCCUAGCUGGUCUGAGAGGAUGACCAGCCACACUGGAACUGAGACACGGUCCAGACUCCUACGGGAGGCAGCAGUGGGGAAUAUUGCACAAUGGGCGCAAGCCUGAUGCAGCCAUGCCGCGUGUAUGAAGAAGGCCUUCGGGUUGUAAAGUACUUUCAGCGGGGAGGAAGGGAGUAAGGUUAAUAACCUUAUUCAUUGACGUUACCCGCAGAAGAAGCACCGGCUAACUCCGUGCCAGCAGCCGCGGUAAUACGGAGGGUGCAAGCGUUAAUCGGAAUUACUGGGCGUAAAGCGCACGCAGGCGGUCUGUCAAGUCGGAUGUGAAAUCCCCGGGCUCAACCUGGGAACUGCAUCCGAAACUGGCAGGCUUGAGUCUCGUAGAGGGAGGUAGAAUUCCAGGUGUAGCGGUGAAAUGCGUAGAGAUCUGGAGGAAUACCGGUGGCGAAGGCGGCCUCCUGGACGAAGACUGACGCUCAGGUGCGAAAGCGUGGGGAGCAAACAGGAUUAGAUACCCUGGUAGUCCACGCCGUAAACGAUGUCUAUUUGGAGGUUGUGCCCUUGAGGCGUGGCUUCCGGAGCUAACGCGUUAAAUAGACCGCCUGGGGAGUACGGCCGCAAGGUUAAAACUCAAAUGAAUUGACGGGGGCCCGCACAAGCGGUGGAGCAUGUGGUUUAAUUCGAUGCAACGCGAAGAACCUUACCUGGUCUUGACAUCCACAGAACUUAGCAGAGAUGCUUUGGUGCCUUCGGGAACUGUGAGACAGGUGCUGCAUGGCUGUCGUCAGCUCGUGUUGUGAAAUGUUGGGUUAAGUCCCGCAACGAGCGCAACCCUUAUCCUUUGUUGCCAGCGGUCCGGCCGGGAACUCAAAGGAGACUGCCAGUGAUAAACUGGAGGAAGGUGGKGAUGACGUCAAGUCAUCAUGGCCCUUACGACCAGGGCUACACACGUGCUACAAUGGCGCAUACAAAGAGAAGCGACCUCGCGAGAGCAAGCGGACCUCAUAAAGUGCGUCGUAGUCCGGAUUGGAGUCUGCAACUCGACUCCAUGAAGUCGGAAUCGCUAGUAAUCGUGGAUCAGAAUGCCACGGUGAAUACGUUCCCGGGCCUUGUACACACCGCCCGUCACACCAUGGGAGUGGGUUGCAAAA
This 1373-nucleotide ribosomal RNA is filed under the name Kosakonia sacchari. RNAcentral's name for it is "bacterial SSU rRNA". The record is from RNAcentral. Lineage: Bacteria; Pseudomonadati; Pseudomonadota; Gammaproteobacteria; Enterobacterales; Enterobacteriaceae.